RNAcentral lists this unclassified non-coding RNA (196 nucleotides) under plant metagenome. RNAcentral describes it as "partial contains small subunit ribosomal RNA, internal transcribed spacer 1, and 5.8S ribosomal RNA". The record is from RNAcentral.
UUUCCGUAGGUGAACCUGCGGAAGGAUCAUUAUCGAGUUAGGGUCUCUGGCCCGACCUCCAACCCUGUGUCUACUAUACCAUGUUGCUUUGGCGGGCCCGCGCUCGCCGAAGACACCCUUGAACUCUGUCUGAAGUUUGCAGUCUGAGCGAAAACUAAAUAAGUUAAAACUUUCAACAACGGAUCUCUUGGUUCCG